This is a long non-coding RNA of Centruroides sculpturatus (bark scorpion), 677 nucleotides long. RefSeq lists it as uncharacterized. The record is from RefSeq and is a predicted model, not a curated record. Lineage: Eukaryota; Metazoa; Arthropoda; Arachnida; Scorpiones; Buthidae. The transcript is spliced from 3 exons.
UUUUUUGAAGUUUAUUGAUUCUUUUGGUUUGUUCGAUUGGUUGGGAUAGUACACAAUUUUUAUGUAAAUUUGACUUUAUUCUUUAGAUUCUUUCAGUGUAAAGUUGACGUAGUGACCUCAAAUUGUGCGCUAUUCUAACCAAUCAAACAGACAUUUUGUUGAUGAUUAGUAUUCUCAUCAUAUUAUCUAAUUACUUUCUCAAUCUAUGAAAUUCGCCAAGAUUAAAACUUUUUAAUUUAUUUGUUUUUAUUAAUUUUAAUAUUUUAUUUUUCAGUUAAAGAUUCUUUUAAUUAUAUCUGAUGAGAAUAAUUAUUUUAUUUUACAGGCAUACAAGAAAUACACAAAAGAGCACAAAAAUCAUAAUAAUAAAAAAUUGCCUCAUUUAAAUUUCACAAGGGAUCAAUUAUUUUUUAUAGCAUAUGCAUAUGUUUGGUGUUCGAAUGAGUACGAAGAUGUUUUUGAGCAUAUGAUUCAGUACGACCCUCAUUGCCCAUCAAAAUAUAGGGUGUUGGGUACACUCUCCAACAAUAAGGACUUUCAUGAAGCCUUUAACUGUACUCAAGGGAAGAAAAUGUAUAGAGAUGAAAAGUGCCUACUUUGGUGAAGAAACAAAACCUAUUUGUUUUUCUGUAUAUGUUGCUCAUUUAAAAUUAAAGUUUAAUUUUUUUUCAUUUGAA